UAUUGAUUGAUCUGAAACAGCACAAAGUAAAGGAAUCAAGAUUCUCCCAGCUGUUCACAAUGGAAAAACUCUGGCACUUUGGUACAUGUUCUCCAUCGUUGCUGCAGCAGAUGAUUGGAAAAUUCCAUCUUGGAUAUUCAAACAUUAAGUGUUCUUUAGCCAAGUAGCACCUGUUUAAGUUACUGAUGCAAAACAGGUUCCUCUACAAAUCCUGUGUUGUGCAAAUUGUUCAUUUGUCUUUUGUUUUGUUUUCUGCAUGACAAAUUUGUUGUGAAAACAUACCAAAUGAGAACAGAUUUCAAAAUGCCAAAUAUGCCAGAAUGUCUCAUUUCCAAGUUUUACAUGUCAAACUCCAAUUCCCAAAGUUUCAUCAUCAUGUUUGAUGUGACACAAGUCUUCAAACAGCUCAAGAGUGAACAUCCUCAGCAAUCUCAACAUUAUUUUAUACCAGUCAUUUAUUGAUUGCCACUUAGAGGACUGAAUAAGAUUUAAACACAGGGCAAGAACAAUGGAAUAAUUUUAGUAUAGAUUAAACAGCUAUUUUCUCAAGGAGAAGAUUAUUAAAUGUUUUAUUUGUGAUACAUGA
This is a long non-coding RNA of Hypanus sabinus (Atlantic stingray), 586 nucleotides long. RefSeq lists it as uncharacterized. Lineage: Eukaryota; Metazoa; Chordata; Chondrichthyes; Myliobatiformes; Dasyatidae. The record is from RefSeq and is a predicted model, not a curated record. The transcript has 2 exons.